UGGGGAAUUUUGGACAAUGGGCGAAAGCCUGAUCCAGCAAUGCCGCGUGUGUGAAGAAGGCCUUCGGGUUGUAAAGCACUUUUGUCCGGAAAGAAAUCCUCUGGGUUAAUACCUCGGGGGGAUGACGGUACCGGAAGAAUAAGCACCGGCUAACUACGUGCCAGCAGCCGCGGUAAUACGUAGGGUGCAAGCGUUAAUCGGAAUUACUGGGCGUAAAGCGUGCGCAGGCGGUUUUGUAAGACGGAUGUGAAAUCCCCGGGCUUAACCUGGGAACUGCAUUCGUGACUGCAAGGCUAGAGUAUGGCAGAGGGGGGUAGAAUUCCACGUGUAGCAGUGAAAUGCGUAGAGAUGUGGAGGAAUACCGAUGGCGAAGGCAGCCCCCUGGCCAAUACUGACGCUCAUGCACGAAAGCGUGGGGAGCAAACAGGAUUAGAUACCCUGGUAGUCCACGCCCUAAACGAUGUCAACUAGUUGUUGGGGAUUCAUUUCCUUAGUAACGUAGCUAACGCGUGAAGUUGACCGCCUGGGGAGUACGGUCGCAAGAUUAAAACUCAAAUGAAUUGACGGGGUCAUAGCUGUUUCCU
This 584-nucleotide ribosomal RNA is filed under the name uncultured bacterium. RNAcentral's name for it is "partial 16S ribosomal RNA". It matches the Rfam family "Bacterial small subunit ribosomal RNA", at positions 355 to 1375 of the family's 1533-position model. The record is from RNAcentral.